AUUGAACGCUGGCGGCAGGCCUAACACAUGCAAGUCGAACGAGUGGCGGACGGGUGAGUAAUGUCUGGGAAACUGCCCGAUGGAGGGGGAUAACUACUGGAAACGGUAGCUAAUACCGCAUACCAUCGGAUGUGCCCAGAUGGGAUUAGCUUGUAGGUGAGGUAACGGCUCACCUAGGCGACGAUCCCUAGCGGGUCUGAGAGGAUGACCAGGCACACGGGAACGGAGACACGGUCCAGACUCCGACGGUAGGCAGCAGUGGGGAAUAUGGCACAAUGGGCGCGAGCCUUAUGCAGCCAUGGCGCGUGUAUGAAGAAGGCCUUCGGGUUGGAAAGUACUUGCAGCGGGGAGGCGUUACCCGCAGAAGAAGCACCGGCUAACUCCGUGCCAGCCGCCGCGGUAAUAC
This 406-nucleotide ribosomal RNA is filed under the name uncultured bacterium. Its description in RNAcentral is "partial 16S ribosomal RNA". It matches the Rfam family "Bacterial small subunit ribosomal RNA", at positions 29 to 526 of the family's 1533-position model. The record is from RNAcentral.